Molecule: ribosomal RNA, 439 nt
Filed under: uncultured bacterium
Lineage: Bacteria
Description: partial 16S ribosomal RNA
Rfam family: Bacterial small subunit ribosomal RNA
Source: RNAcentral
CUACGGGUGGCACCAGUGGGGAAUAUUGCACAAUGGAGGAAACUCUGAUGCAGCAACGCCGCGUGGAGGAUGACACUUUUCGGAGCGUAAACUCCUUUUAUAUAGGAAGAAGAUGACGGUACUAUAUGAAUAAGCGCCGGCUAACUCCGUGCCAGCAGCCGCGGUAAUACGGAGGGCGCAAGCGUUACUCGGAAUCACUGGGCGUAAAGAGCGUGUAGGCGGAUUAGAAAGUCAGAAGUGAAAUCCUAUAGCUUAACUAUAGAGCUGCUUCUGAAACUCUUAAUCUAGAAUAUGGGAGAGGUAGAUGGAAUUUCUGGUGUAGGGGUAAAAUCCGUAGAGAUCAGAAGGAAUACCGAUUGCGAAGGCGAUCUACUAGAACAUUAUUGACGCUGAGACGCGAAAGCGUGGGGAGCAAACAGGAUUAGAUACCCCCGUAGUC